CAGUCGCCGCGGUAAUACAGAGGUCUCAAGCGUUGUUCGGAUUCAUUGGGCGUAAAGGGUGCGUAGGUGGCUUGGUAAGUUGAAGGUGAAAUCUCGGGGCUUAACUCCGAAACUGCCUUCAAUACUGCUGAGCUCGAGGAUUGUAGAGGAGAAUGGAAUUCACGGUGUAGCAGUGAAAUGCGUAGAUAUCGUGAGGAAGACCAGUGGCGAAGGCGGCUUACUGGCUCAUUCUAGACGCUGAGGUGCGAAAGCGUGGGGAGCAAACAGGAUUAGAUACCCCCGUAGUCCCUGUCUCUUAUAC
RNAcentral lists this ribosomal RNA (301 nucleotides) under uncultured bacterium. RNAcentral describes it as "partial 16S ribosomal RNA". It matches the Rfam family "Bacterial small subunit ribosomal RNA", at positions 509 to 807 of the family's 1533-position model. The record is from RNAcentral.